This 485-nucleotide ribosomal RNA is filed under the name uncultured Corynebacterium sp. RNAcentral describes it as "bacterial SSU rRNA". It matches the Rfam family "Bacterial small subunit ribosomal RNA", at positions 8 to 507 of the family's 1533-position model. Lineage: Bacteria; Bacillati; Actinomycetota; Actinomycetes; Mycobacteriales; Corynebacteriaceae. The record is from RNAcentral.
AGAGUUUGACUCCUGGCUCAGGACGAACGCUGGCGGCGUGCUUAACACAUGCAAGUCGACGGAAAGGCCCUGCUUGCAGGGUACUCGAGUGGCGAACGGGUGAGUAACACGUGGGUGAUCUGCCCUGCACUUCGGGAUAAGCCUGGGAAACUGGGUCUAAUACCGGAUAGGAGCCAUUUUUAGUGUGAUGGUUGGAAAGUUUUUUCGGUGUAGGAUGAGCUCGCGGCCUAUCAGCUUGUUGUGGGGGCAAUGGCCUACCAAGGCGGCGACGGGUAGCCGGCCUGAGAGGGUGGACGGCCACAUUGGGACUGAGAUACGGCCCAGACUCCUACGGGAGGCAGCAGUGGGGAAUAUUGCACAAUGGGCGCAAGCCUGAUGCAGCGACGCCGCGUGGGGGAUGAAGGCCUUCGGGUUGUAAACUCCUUUCGCUAGGGACGAAGCUUUUUGUGACGGUACCUAGAUAAGAAGCACCGGCUAACUACGUG